UCAGAGGAAGGCAGGGUAGCUUUGCACCUUACAGACUAACCAAAGUAGACAUAUUGGUUAAUCUAUAGGUGCAAAUCGACCUUGCCUUCUAUUUGACA
Molecule: microRNA precursor, 98 nt
Filed under: Alligator mississippiensis (American alligator)
Lineage: Eukaryota; Metazoa; Chordata; Crocodylia; Alligatoridae
Description: microRNA ami-mir-9599 precursor
Source: miRBase by way of RNAcentral